Molecule: ribosomal RNA, 253 nt
Filed under: uncultured bacterium
Lineage: Bacteria
Description: partial 16S ribosomal RNA
Rfam family: Bacterial small subunit ribosomal RNA
Source: RNAcentral
GACAGAGGGUGCAAACGUUGUUCGGAUUUACUGGGCGUAAAGCGUGUGCAGGCGGCUUCGUAAGUUGGAUGUGAAAUCCCACGGCUCAACCGUGGACGUGCAUCCAAAACUGCGUCGCUGGAGUCUCGGAGAGGAAGGUGGAAUGCUUGGUGUAGAGGUGAAAUUCGUAGAUAUCAAGCAGAACACCUGCGGCGAAGGCGGCCUUCUGGACGAUGACUGACGCUGAGACACGAAAGCGUGGGGAGCAAACAGG